This 274-nucleotide ribosomal RNA is filed under the name uncultured bacterium. Its description in RNAcentral is "partial 16S ribosomal RNA". It matches the Rfam family "Bacterial small subunit ribosomal RNA", at positions 524 to 796 of the family's 1533-position model. The record is from RNAcentral.
UACGGAGGGUGCGAGCGUUGUCCGGAAUCACUGGGCGUAAAGGGCGCGUAGGCGGCCCGCGCAAGGGUGCGGUGAAAGCCCGGGGCUCAACCCCGGGUCGGCCGUGCCGACUGCGGGGCUGGAGCACUGUAGGGGCGGGUGGAAUUCCGGGUGUAGCGGUGGAAUGCGUAGAGAUCCGGAAGAACACCGGUGGCGAAGGCGGCCCGCUGGGCAGUAGCUGACGCUGAGGCGCGACAGCGUGGGGAGCAAACAGGAUUAGAAACCCCCGUAGUCC